This is a long non-coding RNA of Mytilus trossulus (common blue mussel), 755 nucleotides long. RefSeq lists it as uncharacterized. The record is from RefSeq and is a predicted model, not a curated record. Lineage: Eukaryota; Metazoa; Mollusca; Bivalvia; Mytilida; Mytilidae. The transcript has 3 exons.
AAACGGCAAAAAUAAAAUGUAAAAUAAUAUCAAACAUGAAAAUUGAAAUCCAAUAUAUCAUCAUUUCCUUAUACUGAUAUUGAAUCAACUAUUUACUGGUGAAUUACAUUCGGAUUUCGGUCUAAGGUAUCCGCACUUGUCUCCGGAAAUAUUAUACCCACACAAGUUGUCAACAUCCGUUUUCAAACUGGUCAAGGUGUUCUUCACGAUCUCCAUCAUGGAAAAUAUUCACGCAAUCACUUCUUUGCACAGAUAAUAGAACAUUGUAAACCUCUAACUGCAAAUACGGACCAAAAUGAAUAAAAUUCGAAAGCACUUAUGAUCACGUUUCAUGCCGAUUGAUGGAGAAAGAUGUUCACUAUGAAUCAAAAAUUCAAAACAGAUGACUUUUAUAUAUAUAUCAACAAAACCACUUGCAGUACAUGCACAUGUAUGAUUGAUAUACAUACAGCAGGAAAACAGUAAUAAAAUAGAGAGUCAACAACGAGUAAUGUCCAAAGCAAAAUUAUUUUGUUAAAACAAAACAAUAUGACUAGAAUAUAUUAAGGUACACAACACAUACUGGAGGAUGAAAAUUUUGAUACCUGGAAUCAGCAAAAUUUAAAUGAAUUUUGUUAUGAGAGAUAUGUUCAUGUACAAAAUGGUAACUGAGGUGGUUCAAGUGUUUAUUAGCAGACAUUUUUGUUGAACUUGUGCAGGAUUUGAAUAAAUGAAACUUAACUCAGUCUUAAGCUGACUAUGGGCUCAAUGUGUAG